Molecule: ribosomal RNA, 1346 nt
Filed under: uncultured bacterium
Lineage: Bacteria
Description: partial 16S ribosomal RNA
Rfam family: Bacterial small subunit ribosomal RNA
Source: RNAcentral
GACGAACGCUGGCGGCGUGCUUAACACAUGCAAGUCGAACGGAAAGGCCCUGCUUUUGUGGGGUGCUCGAGUGGCGAACGGGUGAGUAACACGUGAGUAACCUGCCCUUGACUUUGGGAUAACUUCAGGAAACUGGGGCUAAUACCGGAUAGGAGCUCCUGCUGCAUGGUGGGGGUUGGAAAGUUUCGGCGGUUGGGGAUGGACUCGCGGCUUAUCAGCUUGUUGGUGGGGUAGUGGCUUACCAAGGCUUUGACGGGUAGCCGGCCUGAGAGGGUGACCGGCCACAUUGGGACUGAGAUACGGCCCAGACUCCUACGGGAGGCAGCAGUGGGGAAUAUUGCACAAUGGGCGGAAGCCUGAUGCAGCAACGCCGCGUGCGGGAUGACGGCCUUCGGGUUGUAAACCGCUUUCGCCUGUGACGAAGCGUGAGUGACGGUAAUGGGUAAAGAAGCACCGGCUAACUACGUGCCAGCAGCCGCGGUGAUACGUAGGGUGCGAGAGUUGUCCGGAUUUAUUGGGCGUAAAGGGCUCGUAGGUGGUUGAUCGCGUCGGAAGUGUAAUCUUGGGGCUUAACCCUGAGCGUGCUUUCGAUACGGGUUGACUUGAGGAAGGUAGGGGAGAAUGGAAUUCCUGGUGGAGCGGUGGAAUGCGCAGAUAUCAGGAGGAACACCAGUGGCGAAGGCGGUUCUCUGGGCCUUUCCUGACGCUGAGGAGCGAAAGCGUGGGGAGCGAACAGGCUUAGAUACCCUGGUAGUCCACGCUGUAAACGGUGGGUACUAGGUGUGGGGUCCAUUCCACGGGUUCCGUGCCGUAGCUAACGCUUUAAGUACCCCGCCUGGGGAGUACGGCCGCAAGGCUAAAACUCAAAGGAAUUGACGGGGCCCCGCACAAGCGGCGGAGCAUGCGGAUUAAUUCGAUGCAACGCGUAGAACCUUACCUGGGUUUGACAUGGAUCGGGAGUGCUCAGAGAUGGGUGUGCCUCUUUUGGGGUCGGUUCACAGGUGGUGCAUGGCUGUCGUCAGCUCGUGUCGUGAGAUGUUGGGUUAAGUCCCGCAACGAGCGCAACCCUUGUUCACUGUUGCCAGCACGUUAUGGUGGGGACUCAGUGGAGACCGCCGGGGUCAACUCGGAGGAAGGUGGGGAUGACGUCAAGUCAUCAUGCCCCUUAUGUCCAGGGCUUCACGCAUGCUACAAUGGCUGGUACAGAGAGUGGCGAGCCUGUGAGGGUGAGCGAAUCUCGGAAAGCCGGUCUCAGUUCGGAUUGGGGUCUGCAACUCGACCUCAUGAAGUCGGAGUCGCUAGUAAUCGCAGAUCAGCAACGCUGCGGUGAAUACGUUCCCGGGGCU